AUUGUCCUCUGCAGAGUCCCUGGCUACACUCUCCCUCAGGAUGGAAUGGAGCUGGGUCAUCCUCUUCCUCCUGUCAGUAACUACAGGUGUCCACUCCCAGGUCCAGCUGCAGCAGUCUGGGGCUGAGGUGGGGAGACCUGGGUCCUCAGUGAAGCUGUCCUGCAAGGCUUCUGGAUACAACUUUGCCAGCUACAUCAUGCACUGGGUGAAGCAGAGGCCUGGACAGGGGCUGGAGUGGAUUGGAUGGAUUUAUCCUGGAAGUGGCAGUACCAGCUAUAACCAGAAGUUCCAGGGCAAGGCCACACUGACUGUAGACAAAUCCUCCAGCACAGCCUACAUGGAGCUCCGCAGCCUGACAGCUGAAGACUCUGCGGUCUAUUACUGUGCAAAAGAUUAUCACAGUGUUGCAACCACAUCCUGA
Molecule: non-coding RNA, 421 nt
Organism: Psammomys obesus (fat sand rat)
Lineage: Eukaryota; Metazoa; Chordata; Mammalia; Rodentia; Muridae
Source: the annotation of a RefSeq genome assembly